GAUGAAGAACGCAGCGAAAUGCGAUACUUGGUGUGAAUUGCAGAAUCCCGCGAAUCAUCGAGUUUUUGAACGCAAGUUGCGCCCGAAGCCAUUCGGCCGAGGGCACGUCUGCCUGGGUGUCACGCAUCGUUGCCCCCCCAAACUCCGGUUCGGGCGGGGCGGAAGUUGGCCUCCCGUGCGUGCCUGCGCGCGCGGUUAGCCCAAAAGCGAGUACUCGGCGACGAGCGCCACGACAAUCGGUGGUUUUUUUGCCCUCGUUCCUCGUCGUGCGUGUCCCGUCGCCCGAACAAGCUCUUGUGACCCUCACGCGUCGCCUCGGCGGCGCUCCCAACGCGACCCCAGGUCAGGCGGGACUACCCGCUGAGUUUAAGCAUAUCAAUAAGCGGAGGA
This 390-nucleotide unclassified non-coding RNA is filed under the name soil metagenome. RNAcentral describes it as "partial contains 5.8S ribosomal RNA, internal transcribed spacer 2, and large subunit ribosomal RNA". The stretch from base 1 to 122 matches the Rfam family "5.8S ribosomal RNA", at positions 35 to 154 of the family's 154-position model. The record is from RNAcentral.